RNAcentral lists this ribosomal RNA (274 nucleotides) under uncultured bacterium. RNAcentral describes it as "partial 16S ribosomal RNA". It matches the Rfam family "Bacterial small subunit ribosomal RNA", at positions 523 to 796 of the family's 1533-position model. The record is from RNAcentral.
AUACGGAGGGUGCAAGCGUUGUUCGGAAUCACUGGGCGUAAAGGGCGCGCAGGCGGUUUGGUAAGUCAGAUGUGAAAGCCCAUGGCUCAACCAUGGAAGUGCAUUUGAAACUGUCAGACUUGAGUACUAGAGGGGAAAGUGGAAUUCCCGGUGUAGAGGUGAAAUUCGUAGAUAUCGGGAGGAAUACCGGUGGCGAAGGCGACUUUCUGGCUAGAUACUGACGCUGAGGCGCGAGAGCGUGGGGAGCAAACAGGAUUAGAAACCCUAGUAGUCC